This is a long non-coding RNA of Stegostoma tigrinum, 657 nucleotides long. RefSeq lists it as uncharacterized. The transcript has 3 exons. The record is from RefSeq and is a predicted model, not a curated record. NCBI's taxonomy places the organism in Eukaryota, Metazoa, Chordata, Chondrichthyes, Orectolobiformes, Stegostomatidae.
CAUUCACUCAGUGAGUGGAAGAGGUUUGUUUGAAACAGACCGCAAUGGAGAGACCAGCGCCCAGGGAAGCGAGGGAGCAGCAGACUCCUUGCGGCAGCGCAUCGAGAUGAAAACACUUGCAGGAACAAGACAAUGUUAUGUGUGCUUGGUACGAAGCCAAGGAUGACCAGCUCCUUCGAACAACCAACAGAAAAAAACACUUGAAGGACCAAGACAAAGUAAGAUUUCUUCAGUGCAGAGGCAAGUGUGAGCAGAUCCUUCUGAUAAACAGCAGGGAUGUUCCCACUGUCAGAGCAGAGAACAUCCUUUCCGCAGUCACAGAGCAGAUUGAGUCAGACACACAGUGAGCUUAAUUUCCAACAGAUAUGUUCAAAUUUUACCAACAGGAGAACAAGGUUGGAGAAAUUAAACUUUAUUUUUCUUAUCUCUCCAUUCCACAUACACAGUUCCAACAAAUUUCAGCAUUCAUCACCCAUUGACUUUUACACUAUUUUUGAAGAGGGAUGAACUGAAAUUAUACACUCAGUAUCUGAAUGAAAUCUAUGUAAAAUUACUCUACUAGCAAUUAUCACAUAAUGAAUCACACCUCCACUAAGAAUAUUACUGGCUGCUGACAAUUAAGCCACUUUUACAAGUAGAAAAUGACCAGUAUGGAUU